GGUUAAGCGACUAAGCGUACACGGUGGAUGCCUAGGCAAUCAGAGGCGAUGAAGGACGUGCUAAUCUGCGAAAAGCGUCGGUAAGGUGAUAUGAACCGUUAUAACCGACGAUGUCCGAAUGGGGAAACCCAGUGCAAUUCGUUGCACUAUCGUUUGAUGAAUCCAUAGUCAAACGAGGCGAACCGGGGGAACUGAAACAUCUCAGUACCCCGAGGAAAAGAAAUCAACCGAGAUUCCCCUAGUAGCGGCGAGCGAACGGGGAGCAGCCCAGAGUCUUAAUCAGCAUCAGCAUCAGGAGAACGGUCUGGAAAGGCCGGCAAUAAAGGGUGAUAGCCCCGUAUCCGAAGGUGUUGGUGUUGUGAACUCGAUGAGUAGGGCGGGACACGUGUUAUCCUGUCUGAAUAUGGGGGGACCAUCCUCCAAGGCUAAAUACUCCUGAUUGACCGAUAGUGAACCAGUACCGUGAGGGAAAGGCGAAAAGAACCCCGGCGAGGGG
RNAcentral lists this ribosomal RNA (496 nucleotides) under Providencia stuartii. RNAcentral describes it as "partial 23S ribosomal RNA". It matches the Rfam family "Bacterial large subunit ribosomal RNA", at positions 1 to 536 of the family's 2925-position model. Lineage: Bacteria; Pseudomonadati; Pseudomonadota; Gammaproteobacteria; Enterobacterales; Morganellaceae. The record is from RNAcentral.